Molecule: unclassified non-coding RNA, 1010 nt
Filed under: Haliotis rubra (blacklip abalone)
Lineage: Eukaryota; Metazoa; Mollusca; Gastropoda; Lepetellida; Haliotidae
Description: leucine-rich repeat-containing protein 61-like, transcript variant X4
Source: RNAcentral
UUACCUCCCUUUAAACGUCGCGCUUGUUGUCUGUUUGCAUGGUAUCUAGGCUGCCUGUUCCAGCUGAUUGCAUUUGCAAUUCCUCACGAAAUGUUUAUGUAAUACUAGUAUUCAAGGCGAGAUUCUGUCGCAGAUCUAUGAGACAUGACCGCAAUAUCAGAUGGAAAAAUCAGCAAGCAGCUCUUAAAGACACGCAGUGGAGAAUUUGACGUUGAAAGCAUACAUUCACUCUUUCUUCGUGAUGCAGGUGUGUGUGACCUCGGCUGCCUGGGUGAGUGUGUUAAUGUGGAGAGACUGGACCUGUCCCACAACCACCUGACAGUACUCCACAAGUUAGCGGGACUUACCCAGCUCAACACCCUCAACCUGUCUGCCAACAGAAUCACUACGCUGGAAGGCCUGCAGUCUUUGGAGAAGCUUCACACUCUCAGUUUGUCAGGGAAUCACAUAGCCAGGUUUGAGUCCUUGGUGUGUCUGACUGGGCUUGAGUAUCUGCAAGAUUUACGUCUUCAAGACAGAAUCAACAAGCUUUCAAACCCAGUGUGUCAGCAUGUGAACUAUCUGGAGGAGGUGCAGAGGAUGUUCCCUAGACUCAAGACACUGGAUGGUGAACGUGUCCAAGGGAAAGGCAGUGAGUUGUACCAACUCUGUCGGCAAAUAGACACUCAACUUCAACAAGAGCCAAUAGCCAGUGCCUCACUCCAAGCACAACGUCCUGCUCCUUGGUUACAGUCUCAGUACUGGGAGAUGGCAGAUGACUUUCAAAACUCUAUGCUAUGUGAUGCUGAGGUGCAACUCACAGACCUCCUGGCUAGCUGCAAAAGACUGUCAGAACAGUCUGAAGGCAAACUUUAUAAUAGUAUGCUUGGGUCUUCAUAGCAUCAACAUAUUUUAGGGAAGAGAAUGCCACACACUUAUGUCAAAAACUGGAGAGAUUUGAAUAGAAGCAAAGACAGUUUUUCAAAAAGACGACAAAUUGACUGAGUGAGUGAGUUAAGUUUUACGCUGCA